CAACAUACUAAUUCCACAUAGUAACACUAUUGCCCAUGCAGGUAUAGCUGUACCUCCUAAGAUAGUUGAAACAUUUAUGUUAUUUUCAUGUAAACGUAACAAUUUCAUCAAUAUUUUACAAUUUUUACUCACUGUAAUAUUGCCUUGUUAUUGUCUUACGACCGCGUAAUAUUUUACGUCUUGCUUCUGUUUCAUCGAUGAAGAUUCCCAUAAUAACUAUGUUACCGUCAAAUAUAACCAGACAAGAAGAAUUGGGUGUAGCGUUGAUCGUCGGAUGAUGAAUCAACGACGAUAGAUAACAAGUGAUAACAGAUAAUAUAGAAUGUAGCUUAUCUGUUUUAAUACUAUGAGAUAAAGUACCUGAGAAAAUUCAUGUAGGCAAUGCAGUAAAAGAUAGUAAACUUUCUAAAAUAGUCUGGUAAAGAAGCUUUUACAUUUGUUGCCAUAAAUUUGGUAUAUUUACAAAGUUUAUGUAAAUUUAAUAUAUUUAAAACAAAUUAGAUAUAUUACUUGUAUAACAAUGACUUUUUAUUAAAUCUAUUAAGAAGAUAUUUAGUAUAUAUACUUGUGUUAUCUCUAUGUACGAUUUAUCUUCAUUAACGUGAGAAAUGGCACAUUGAAGAUUUACAAUUUGACAGAAUGCGAAAUGACUGUGGCUGGAUGUAUGGGACAAGGAUUCGGGUCCUUACAAUCUGAUCAACAGAAAAGAAUAAUCUGAAGUUAUAUUUCUUAAUCUCAUAAUGACUUUUUAUUGAUUGAAAAUUAAGGAACCAAGUUACAUAUAUAGUAAAUCAUUCACGCAAUCGUUGUGAUCUCAGAUAAAUAUGAUACCAACGCGUGAGAAUGUCAAGUGAGAAGAAGACAAACUAGGCGGUAUAACUACUGCGAGUAUUAGGAGAUAAUAAGUAUAUAAUUCCAAUAUUAAUGGUAUUUAGCUGUAAGAUAACGUAAUAGUAUAUUCUCUUUUAUGUUUAUUUUAUAUGUAGUUAUAUUAUCGUUUCAAAGAAUGUUAAAAAUAAUAUUUAUAUUUAAGAAAGCAUGAUUCUCUCAUAAAGGUAUACUUGACUCGCAGUAUAUUCCGUUACAGUUAUUUUUCUCUCUCCUGUAUAUUGUAAGGAGUACUGGCAUAAACCAAUACAUGUAAGUGAUUUAUAUAAUGAUCACUUUUCAUUAUACCUUAUUCAAAGAAUAUGUGUAUACAACAAAAGUAAAGCUUUGAUGCGAUUUCUGAGAGUAUAAGUUUUAUAAUAAUAUAAAUGUAAAUAUAAAUAGCUGGCACAUAUACAAGGCAUUCCAAACAUCACUUUUCACCAAAUUUGCAGCAAAUUUAUCUGCUGCGCUCACUGCCUCUUCUCUACUAUUCCUUUGUUGCUAUAUCAUUAUCUCUAGUUAUACACUCUUUUAAUACAAACUAAAUUCUGUGUUAUAUUCUCUCUCUCUUUCUCUCCUCUUCCCCCCUCCGUUUUUCGUUUUGUUCUAAUUAUUCAGCACCA
Long non-coding RNA from Vespa crabro (European hornet), 1493 nucleotides. RefSeq lists it as uncharacterized. The record is from RefSeq and is a predicted model, not a curated record. NCBI's taxonomy places the organism in Eukaryota, Metazoa, Arthropoda, Insecta, Hymenoptera, Vespidae. The transcript is spliced from 2 exons.